Molecule: ribosomal RNA, 552 nt
Filed under: Vishniacozyma victoriae
Lineage: Eukaryota; Fungi; Basidiomycota; Tremellomycetes; Tremellales; Bulleribasidiaceae
Description: partial large subunit ribosomal RNA
Rfam family: Eukaryotic large subunit ribosomal RNA
Source: RNAcentral
GAUUCCCUUAGUAACGGCGAGUGAACCGGGAUGAGCUCAAAUUUAAAAUCUGGCGUCUUUCAGGCGUCCGAGUUGUAAUCUAUAGAGGCGUUUUCCGCGCCGGACCGCGUCCAAGUCUCUUGGAAUAGAGUAUCAAAGAGGGUGACAAUCCCGUACUUGACGCGACAACCGGUGCUCUGUGAUACGUUCUCAAUGAGUCGAGUUGUUUGGGAAUGCAGCUCUAAAUGGGUGGUAAAUUCCAUCUAAGGCUAAAUAUUGGCGAGAGACCGAUAGCGAACAAGUACCGUGAGGGAAAGAUGAAAAGCACUUUGGAAAGAGAGUUAAACAGCACGUGAAAUUGUUAAAAGGGAAACGAUUGAAGUCAGUCGUGUGAAAGGUAUUCAGCCGUCUCUGGCGGUGUAUUUGCCUUUCACGGGUCAACAUCAGUUUGAUCCGGUAGAAAAAGGCGGGAGGAAGGUGGCACCCUCGGGUGUGUUAUAGCCUCCUGUCAUAUGUGCCGGACCAGACUGAGGAACGCAGCUUGCCGCAAGGCCGGGGUUCGCCCACGUACAA